GACGAACGCUGGCGGCGUGCUUAACACAUGCAAGUCGAGCGGUAAGGCCCUUUCGGGGGGUACACGAGCGGCGAACGGGUGAGUAACACGUGGGUGACCUGCCCUUAGCUCUGGGAUAAGCCUGGGAAACUGGGUCUAAUACCGGAUAUGACUCCAUGACGCAUGUUGUGGGGUGGAAAGCCUUGUGCGGCUAGGGGAUGGGCCCGCGGCCUAUCAGCUUGUUGGUGGGGUGAUGGCCUACAAGGCGACGACGGUAGCCGGCCUGAGAGGGCGACCGGCCACACUGGGACUGAGACACGGCCCAGACUCCUACGGGAGGCAGCAGGUGGGGAAUCUUGCGCAAUGGGCGAAAGCCUGACGCAGCGACGCCGCGUGGGGAUGACGG
RNAcentral lists this ribosomal RNA (385 nucleotides) under uncultured bacterium. RNAcentral describes it as "bacterial SSU rRNA". It matches the Rfam family "Bacterial small subunit ribosomal RNA", at positions 28 to 414 of the family's 1533-position model. The record is from RNAcentral.